Molecule: long non-coding RNA, 300 nt
Filed under: Elaeis guineensis (African oil palm)
Lineage: Eukaryota; Viridiplantae; Streptophyta; Magnoliopsida; Arecales; Arecaceae
Description: long non-coding RNA (EGUI_LNC013027)
Source: RNAcentral
AGAGGGGUGUGGGCUCUUUGUGCGUGGAGAGUCUACACGAGAAACUUUUUCUCGUGUAGAGCAAGGGGCGCACAAAUAGAUAAGGUGGCGCAUGGGUUAGUUGCCCAUUCAAAUUCAAACAUCAUUUGAAUUUGAAUGGCCAACCAACCAAUAUUUAUCCACCCAAAUGGCGCACAAGGGAGGGUGUGGGAAGGCUUCUGCAUAAGAGAAAAUUCACAAGAACUUGUUUCUCAUGAAUUCAAGUAUGCGCAGGUGGGUGAGGUGGCGUAGGGAGACAAGUCAAAGGUGGUUUGAAAUUUU